ACUAUAAUUAACAGAGAACAACACAAGAGAUUUAUACUGGUUCACCCAAACAAGGGCUAGUCCAGUCCCGACCAACAGCCGGAAUUCACUCGCCUAAAGGUAAUGGCAAAACCUUUCUAAGCUUUAAGGCUACUUCGCUUAGGAACCAGUCUUUUACGGGUAGACUCACACCUUAGAGUAUCAAGGGCACUCUUAAGAACCUCUAACUUUUACGGGUAAGUUAGUACCUUAGAGUAUCAAGGAACUCUUAAAAACCUCUCUAAGCUUUAAGGCUACUUCGUUUAGGAACCAGUCUUUUACGGGUAGACUCACACCUUAGAGUAUCAAGGGCACUCUUAAGAACCUCUAACUUUUACGGGUAAGUUAGUACCUUAGAGUAUCAAGGAACUCUUAAAAACCUCUGAAAUCUUUAAAGGUAGACUCAACCUAAGAGUUUUCCCGGAAACUCUAUAAAACCAAACUAGAGCUUUAUGGUUGAGCUCACAAACCUUCUCUAACACUUUGGUACUAUUGAGACAACCCUCUCAACCAAAGUGGACACACACAAGAGGUGAUUAGAGGAGUGGAAUAUUAAAGCAAACAACACUUCUUACUUGUAAAGAUGAACAAGAAGAUUAGAAGAAGAAGUUAGAGAGCUUUUGAAGCUUUGGAAAGCUAGGACACUUGAGCACUUGAAAGCUUGGAAGCUUGGAGGCAAAAACGUGUGGGCAAGUGUAGAGUGAAAGCUCUUGAGUUUGCUUGUAGUGUGGUGAGUGGAAAUGAGGGGUUUACCCUUCUAUUUAUAGCCUUGGCCACUCAAUGUCCAUCCUUGGAUCUUCAAUGGAUGGCUCCUUGAUUUCUCACAUAAAUCCAAGCUUUGUCUUUGAAUAGUGUUUUCCUUGGAUAGUGUUUUGUCCCUUGUUGGAGAAU
This 909-nucleotide long non-coding RNA is filed under the name Zostera marina. RNAcentral describes it as "long non-coding RNA (ZMAR_LNC005936)". Lineage: Eukaryota; Viridiplantae; Streptophyta; Magnoliopsida; Alismatales; Zosteraceae. The record is from RNAcentral.